CCAAUAGCGUAUAUUAAAGUUGUUGCAGUUAAAAAGCUCGUAGUUGAAUUUCGGGGUCAGUAGGUUGGUCAUGCCACUGGUAUGUACUGGUCUCACUGAUUCCUCCUUCCUGAUGAGCCGUAAUGCCAUUAAUUUGGUGUUGCGAGGAAUCUGGACUGUUACUUUGAAAAAAUUAGAGUGUUUAAAGCAGGCUAACGCUUGAAUACAUUAGCAUGGAAUAAUGAAAUAGGACGUUCGAUCCUAUUUUGUUGGUUUCUAGGAUUGACGUAAUGAUUAAUAGGGAUAGUUGGGGGCAUUAGUAUUCAAUUGUCAGAGGUGAAAUUCUUGGAUUUAUUGAAGACUAACUACUGCGAAAGCAUUUGCCAAGGAUGUUUUCAUUAAUCAAGAACGAAAGUUAGGGGAUCGAAGACGAUCAGAUACCGUCGUAGUCUUAACCAUAAACUAUGCCGACUAGGGAUCGGAUGAUGUUAAUUUUUUAAUGACUUAUUCGGCGCCUUACG
This 500-nucleotide ribosomal RNA is filed under the name uncultured Glomeromycotina. RNAcentral describes it as "partial small subunit ribosomal RNA". It matches the Rfam family "Eukaryotic small subunit ribosomal RNA", at positions 591 to 1092 of the family's 1831-position model. The record is from RNAcentral. Lineage: Eukaryota; Fungi; Glomeromycota.